CUAAACACAUGCAAGUCGCACGAGAAAGGGACUUCGGUCCUGAGUACAGUGGCGCACGGGUGAGUAACACGUGAAUAAUCUACCUCCGAGUGGGGAAUAACUGAGAGAAAUCUUAGCUAAUACCGCAUAACACUUACGAGUCAAAGCAGCAGUGCGCUUGGAGAGGAGUUCGCGGCAGAUUAGUUAGUUGGCGGGGUAAUGGCCCACCAAGACGAUGAUCUGUAGCCGGCCUGAGAGGGACACACGGCCACACUGGCACUGAAACACGGGCCAGACUCCUACGGGAGGCAGCAGUGGGGAAUCUUGCACAAUGGGGGAAACCCUGAUGCAGCGACGCCGCGUGAGCGAUGAAGCCCUUCGGGGUGUAAAGCUCUUUCGGCAGGGAAGAUUAUGACGGUACCUGCAGAAGCAGCUGCGGCUAACUACGUGCCAGCAGCCGCGGUAAUACGUAGGCAGCGAGCGUUGUUCGGAGUUACUGGGCGUAAAGGGUGUGUAGGCGGCUCUCUAAGUUUGGUGUGAAAUCUCCCGGUCAACCGGGAGGGUGCGCCGAAUACUGAAGGGCUAGAGUGCGGGAGAGGAAAGUGGAAUUCCUGGUGUAGCGGUGAAAUGCGUAGAUUCAGGAGGAACACCGGUGGUGUAGACGGUUUCUGGACCGUAACUGACGCUGAGACACGAAAGCGGUGGGGUAGGCCAAACAGGAUUUAGAUACCCUGGUAGUCCCAGGCCCCUUAAACGGAUGGCUAUUUGGGGGUGGGUCCAUUCCGGGUGGAUCCGGGGCGGGAACUUAAAGCGGUUAAAUAUUGCCGGCCUGGGGGAGUACAGGCGCAAAGGGUGGAACUCCAAAGGG
This 847-nucleotide ribosomal RNA is filed under the name uncultured bacterium. RNAcentral describes it as "bacterial SSU rRNA". It matches the Rfam family "Bacterial small subunit ribosomal RNA", at positions 47 to 908 of the family's 1533-position model. The record is from RNAcentral.